Potamilus streckersoni is the source of this 77-nucleotide non-coding RNA. The record is from the annotation of a GenBank genome assembly. NCBI's taxonomy places the organism in Eukaryota, Metazoa, Mollusca, Bivalvia, Unionida, Unionidae.
GACUGCGCCAUUAGCCUAGUGGUUAAAGCAUUUGCCUUGGAUGCAGGAGGUUGUGGGUUCGAACCAUGGCUGAGUCU